CCUAGCAGCCAUACCACCCUGAACGCGCCCGAUCUCGUCUGAUCUCGGAAGCUAAGCAGGGUCGGGCCUGGUUAGUACUUGGAUGGGAGACCUAUUUAUAGGUUUUAAGCAUUAGAA
Molecule: ribosomal RNA, 117 nt
Filed under: Panthera pardus (leopard)
Lineage: Eukaryota; Metazoa; Chordata; Mammalia; Carnivora; Felidae
Source: RNAcentral